AUUCACGAGUCCAAAAUAGGACAAAACGCGCGUCUUGGAU
Schistosoma curassoni is the source of this 40-nucleotide non-coding RNA. Lineage: Eukaryota; Metazoa; Platyhelminthes; Trematoda; Strigeidida; Schistosomatidae. The record is from Rfam.